This 402-nucleotide unclassified non-coding RNA is filed under the name Hevea brasiliensis (rubber tree). Lineage: Eukaryota; Viridiplantae; Streptophyta; Magnoliopsida; Malpighiales; Euphorbiaceae. The record is from RNAcentral.
GGAACUUGUGAGGUGUGCAAGAUGGUUGUUAACAGCGAGGGAUGUUGCUAAUUCUAUCAGUUGAAAGCCUCAUUACAAGUCAGAUUUCUUCCAUUUACGUCUUAAGCACAAGAUAUACCUUCAGAAUUAGGAUGGAUCACUCAAAUAUAGUUUUCGUUUGGUAGCGGUUUUUUGGUAUCAAAACCAGCUCGCACCUGACUGAGAUAGCCCUCUCGACACCUUAUUGGAGCUGUGUAACUAGUGGCGGACUCCUCGAUUAUUCAACUGGAUAUCUGCUACCUUCUCCAGUGCAAUACCUGGUAGUAAUUGGACACAGCUCCCAUUGAAGAACAUUAAUCAUUGCUCCACUAUUUGUUUAUUGUGUCUCCACAUAAUGGUAAUAUCUCACUUCAGGACAAAAAA